UCAAGCGCAAUAAACGGGCCUUCCUUCGUGAUUAAUUUCCCAUUAAAUCCAUGAAGCAACUCCGCAACCCGGUAUAUACAUCGAAUAAAAAUCAACAAGAUUGCCAACGAAAACGCAGGGAAAAAAAUAUACAAGCGCCCGAGCGCCGUACAAGCGGGCCCACCAACACUAACUCUACCCGCCUUUAUCUCAUAGCCAUUAACCUCCUUCCACAGAUACCCUCGUCGGUAAACCCUGGUAAACAACUCCAGAAGCAACAAAAUAAAUACGAAUAAACUCAACACCUGAAAUACCAACCCUGCAACCAUGACAUCAAUACCCGCAAGCCGAUUCUGCCUCUUUAGCAUCGCAUUACUCGCGAUUCCACCUCCUAGGCCUUGCAAUAAAAGACUAAUAAAAUCGCAAGGGAUGAAUAUCCACGCAUACUGCCUCGGAUCCAACCGCGACGUGCCCUCACACCCAAACAGCCGAGCGAUAUCUGUCAUGCAGAAAUAGAUCGCCGCGGUGAAGAGCGCCGGCGCGAUCGUGAGGGCGCAUAUCUGUAUCAGGAAGCCGUUGAGGCUGAACGGGUCCCUAUUUAGCAUGAGUCGUCCAGCGUAGCCGAUUAUCUCGCCCACGCAACCUAGGAGGAUUGGCGCUGUGAAUAUAGCAUGGCUUCGCCAGAUGGAGAACUGGAUGAGGUGGAUUAGGGCGGAUACGGCGAAGAGGCUGAUGAAGAGUGCGUUUGCAGUCAGGGAGGGGCGGUAUUCGUAUAUGCUUGCUUCAAUCGGGC
Molecule: small RNA, 772 nt
Filed under: Histoplasma capsulatum
Lineage: Eukaryota; Fungi; Ascomycota; Eurotiomycetes; Onygenales; Ajellomycetaceae
Also listed under: 1 other name
Description: hypothetical RNA
Source: RNAcentral